This 460-nucleotide ribosomal RNA is filed under the name uncultured bacterium. Its description in RNAcentral is "partial 16S ribosomal RNA". It matches the Rfam family "Bacterial small subunit ribosomal RNA", at positions 338 to 795 of the family's 1533-position model. The record is from RNAcentral.
CCUACGGGUGGCAGCAGUGAGGAAUAUUGGUCAAUGGACGAGAGUCUGAACCAGCCAAGUAGCGUGAAGGAUGAAUGCGCUAUGGGUUGUAGACUUCUUUUAUAUGGGAAUAAAACAGGGGAUGCAUACCCUCCUGUAAGUACCCGAAGAAUAAGGAUCGGCUAACUCCGUGCCAGCAGCCGCGGUAAUACGGAGGAUCCGAGCGUUAUCCGGAUUUAUUGGGUUUAAAGGGUGCGCAGGUGGAGUGUUAAGGCAGUUGUGAAAGUGUGCGGCUCAACCGGACAAGUGCAGUUGAAACUGGCGGCCUUGAGUACAGUAGAGGUAUGCGGAAUGCGUGGUGUAGCGGUGAAAUGCUUAGAUAUCACGCAGAACUCCGAUUGCGAAGGCAGCGCGCUGGACUGCAACUGACACUGAUGCUCGAAAGUGUGGGUAUCGAACAGGAUUAGAUACCCUUGUAGUC